UUGGUGUAGGUAACGGCUCACCAAGCCGACGAUGGAUAGGGGAACUGAGAGGUUGGUCCCCCACACUGGUACUGAGACACGGACCAGACUCCUACGGGAGGCAGCAGUGAGGAAUCUUGGUCAAUGGACGCAAGUCUGAACCAGCCAUGUCGCGUGAAGGAGGACGGCCCUAAGGGUUGUAAACUUCUUUUGCAGCGGAAUAAAGUUUGCCACGAGUUGGCGAUUUGCAAGUACGCUGCGAAUAAGGAUCGGCUAACUCCGUGCCAGCAGCCGCGGUAAUACGGAGGAUCCGGGCGUUAUCCGGAUUUAUUGGGUUUAAAGGGUGCGCAGGCGGGGAUUUAGGUCGGCGGUGAAAUUUCGGGGCUCAACCUCGAUAGUGCCGUUGAAACCGUUUCUCUUGAGUGCGGAUGAGGUAGGCGGAAUUUGUGGUGUAGCGGUGAAAUGCGUAGAUAUCACAAGGAACACCGAUUGCGGAGGCAGCUUACUAAACCGUUACUGACGCUCAUGCACGAAGGCGUGGGGAUCAAACAGGAUUAGAUACCCUGGUAGUCCACGCAGUAAACGAUGAUUACUUGCUGUUUGCGAUACACGGUAAGC
RNAcentral lists this ribosomal RNA (597 nucleotides) under uncultured bacterium. RNAcentral describes it as "bacterial SSU rRNA". It matches the Rfam family "Bacterial small subunit ribosomal RNA", at positions 249 to 844 of the family's 1533-position model. The record is from RNAcentral.